AUUGCUUCUUGGCUUUUUGGUCAAGAUUAUGUGCGUAGUAUCUGUUCUUAUCAUUUCAGUAUCUGAUAUGUCCUCUAUGCAAGGACAAUAUUGUAAAUAGAUUUUUGGAUCAGGGAGAUGGAAAAGGAAAUUGCUGUGUCCACUCCAUGCAUCAAUCUGGUAUUGAAGUACUUCCAAGAAUGGUGCACCGCUU
This 193-nucleotide small nuclear RNA is filed under the name Carlito syrichta (Philippine tarsier). RNAcentral describes it as "U2 spliceosomal RNA (ENSTSYG00000022374.2)". It matches the Rfam family "U2 spliceosomal RNA". Rfam says of the family: U2 is a small nuclear RNA (snRNA) component of the spliceosome (involved in pre-mRNA splicing). Complementary binding between U2 snRNA (in an area lying towards the 5' end but 3' to hairpin I) and the branchpoint sequence (BPS) of the intron results the bulging out of an unpaired adenosine, on the BPS, which initiates a nucleophilic attack at the intronic 5' splice site, thus starting the first of two transesterification reactions that mediate splicing. The record is from Rfam by way of RNAcentral. Lineage: Eukaryota; Metazoa; Chordata; Mammalia; Primates; Tarsiidae.